GCAGCAUACGCCGAGCCGGUCUUUGAGCGCUAACGUCUUUCUGUCUCCCCGCGGUGGUGAUGACGGUGAAAACUGAGGCUGCUAAGGGCACCCUCACUUACUCCAGGAUGAGGGGCAUGGUGGCAAUUCUCAUCGCUUUCAUGAAGCAGAGGAGGAUGGGUCUGAACGACUUUAUUCAGAAGAUUGCCAAUAACUCCUAUGCAUGCAAACAGUAAGUUUGACCGGAUUUGAGGAAAUAACUAGUAUAGUUUGAAUUUGCCAGCGGUAAACAUUCUCAUCACGGCGUUUAUCGGGAAGGCGAAGACUUCUUCUGGGGUGGGGAUCUCAUUUCUCCUUAAAUUCUAAUAUAUUUGACACAUUUUAAACAUUAAAGUUAAUUUGCUGAUUUGGCUUGAACUGGAGAUGUAAGAUAAAUGGUUCGUGUUGGCCGAAUUCACGGCCUUUCUCCAUGAGCAACAAUCCUUAUUUCUGUAUUUAAUGGGGUUUAUUAUUUUCUUUAACUGACUAAUGUAUUGGGGUAUUUUCAGUUUAAACAGUGAAUUAUCCGGGUAGAAGUCGGUAGAGCCAGAAACUCACUUUUGAUGUUGGUGUGCCCCCUAGUGGCGAGCUGGAUUCUAAAUCGUGCCCUUUAUUCCCUGCAGCCCUGAAGUUCAGUCCAUCUUGAAGAUCUCCCAACCUCAGGAGCCUGAGCUUAUGAAUGCCAACCCUUCUCCUCCAGUAAGUUUUUGUAUGUGCCGUGCAUCUGUGGAGAACUGUAAGGGAGUCAGUUAGUAUUCCUACAUUAAUGGAUUAAAAUAGCAUUUCUAGAAAUUAGUAUCAAGGCAGGAAUGCUUCAUUAUGGCAUAACAAGUGAUAUAAAUAUUUAAGUAUUGAGUCAGAGUAUUAUUUUAUUUUUUUCCUGGGCAUAUUUUACCUCCAAAGUGGUUAUUUUAAAAGGCAUAUUUCAUAAAAAGGUUUUAUCUGUCUGAAACAACAUGACUGUGUGCAGUUUCCAUACUCAUUUGAAAUGUGAUGAAAUGUAGUUUUGAAUGUUUAUAGAUGUAUGGUCAUUUGCAUCAGUCAUUUGUAGAUGUAACAUUUUCUACAUCGUUUAUGUUAUAGAUGUCUUCCUUUGAAGCAAUGGUAUUAAAAGAAAUUCUUUUUUUUUUUUUCUAGCCAAGUCCUUCUCAGCAAAUCAACCUUGGCCCGUCGUCCAAUCCUCAUGCUAAACCAUCUGACUUUCACUUCUUGAAAGUGAUCGGAAAGGGCAGUUUUGGAAAGGUAAUUUCAAAUCUGAAGAUCUUUUGGUACACUUCCUUCAUGUCCUCUUUUGUAUUCUCCCUGGAUGAGGAUAGAAAAAUGAUUUUUUUAAAUUGAAAUUUCAGGUUCUUCUAGCAAGACACAAGGCAGAAGAAGUGUUCUAUGCAGUCAAAGUUUUACAGAAGAAAGCAAUCCUGAAAAAGAAAGAGGUAUGAGAUGUGCUUGAUGGGGCUGGCAUUGGCGGUAGACACUCCUUGAAUAAUCUUGAUUCUGGAAUGUUGGUGCCAAGUUGAAACAUGCCACUAAAUCUGAAUCGUCAUUUUCCUAGGAGAAGCAUAUUAUGUCGGAGCGGAAUGUUCUGUUGAAGAAUGUGAAGCACCCUUUCCUGGUGGGCCUUCACUUCUCUUUCCAGACUGCUGACAAAUUGUACUUUGUCCUAGACUACAUUAAUGGUGGAGAGGUGAGCAGGGGGGAUAGAAGUCAACUCUUAGUGUCUCUGCACAGCCUGCUUUGUUUUAGUUUGAGAAAAAAGUUUUCAAAGAUUUUUGGUGGGGAGAAUGUUACCAGAAUUAGCAUUUCCUUCAACCUGUCAGGUUUAUAGUUAAUAGAUUACUUGGGGCCACUUCCUGCAGUUGUUCUUUUGCUGUGUAUGUCAAAACUAAUUAAAUUCAUUUGCAACCCAGAAUGACUUUGUUCUGUCUCCUGCAGUUGUUCUACCAUCUCCAGAGGGAACGCUGCUUCCUGGAACCACGGGCUCGUUUCUAUGCUGCUGAAAUAGCCAGUGCCUUGGGCUACCUGCAUUCACUGAACAUCGUUUAUAGGUAAGCCUGAGAGCUCUUCAGGCUACCAGUUUUGGUAUAAAGGAGACGUAGCACUGGCUGUUUCAUAGGGCCUUAAAAUAAUUUGUGUUUAUUUGCAACUUGGUUGCCUAAAACCAGAUCCCCUAGCACGUGAGCUGGCUUGACUUAAGUGCCAAGGGGGAACCAGCCAAGUAGGAUUGUGCCUAAUCCAGAAUAGAUGAGCAGAACAAGGGCUCCCUUUUUUCUUCACUACACAACUACAGUGAACCUAAAAUGCCUCUAAUACCUUUAGCAAUUAUCUUUAAGAGGAUAUCUUAUGAAGUGAAAUUAACUUGUGCAACUACUUUUCUAUUCACUUUUUUACAGAGACUUAAAACCAGAGAAUAUUUUGCUAGAUUCACAGGGACACAUUGUCCUUACUGACUUCGGACUCUGCAAGGAGAACAUUGAACACAACAGCACAACAUCCACCUUCUGUGGCACGCCGGAGGUAGGCGCUGUCUUGGUUUGGUGCCUGGUUUACCCCCGCCUUCCAAGAGAGAGAUGUACAAUCAUGCACUUAACUACCAAAAAGAGUAAACUCCUCUCAGAGACUUCUUAAUACAGUUCAGUGCAAAUAAAAUACAUUUGCUGUUUGAUGUAGCAUGAGAAAUCCCAAGUCCUUCUGUUCCUUUACUGAAAAGUAGCUGUUUGUAAGUAAGAUCUGCAUCAUAAAAACUUUCUAAAUCCCUAAGUAAGAGAUAUCAAGUGCCCAGCAGUUUCCUAAAUGUCAGUACACAUAGGUAGCCAGUCACCCUCAAAAAGUCCAGCAGUUUUAUCAGGAAGGAAUCUAAAGAUAUCUAUCUUCCAAGCUGGCUCUGGGUCUCUCAGCUUUUUCAAACUAAAUGUGUGGUCGUGGGAUUGCUUGCUUUCGCAGGUUCUAAACGCUGUUUCCCUGGUCUGUUUUUCAGUAUCUCGCACCUGAGGUGCUUCAUAAGCAGCCUUAUGACAGGACUGUGGACUGGUGGUGCCUGGGAGCUGUCUUGUAUGAGAUGCUGUAUGGCCUGGUGAGUGGCACAUUGGGAACCAUGGAACACUGCCUGCUCCCUACAAUAUUGCCUUCACACAGCCCAUGCUUGGCCAUGGUGUCUUGCCCUUACCAGUACGCUUAUCAAAAGCAGCUAAGAGGCAUAUUGGUUAUUUUAUAGUUCAUAAGAAUAAUCACUUACCUGGUUCUUUUGUGCAUUUCACAUUUUACUAGAUAGGACCACAUUGAACCUGUGUGGUGGUGAAAAACUACCACUUAUUAACAUCUACCCCCUCACCCUCCACACACACACACACAAACACACACACGGGUUGCAAAGUAGACACUUAAAUAGCAAGGGAAAAGAAAGCAUUGAGGUGGGGAGAGUUUCUCAAAUCGAGCCUAAUAUUUAUUGCCGUUUAUAUCUUUUUCUCUACUGGUAAUGUGUGCCAUAUGAAACUUCCAAUUAAGUCUAAAGUAAUUUUCCCCUUCUUUCAGCCGCCUUUUUAUAGCCGAAACACAGCUGAAAUGUACGACAACAUUCUGAACAAGCCUCUCCAGCUGAAACCAAAUAUUACAAAUUCCGCAAGACACCUCCUGGAGGGCCUCCUGCAGAAGGACAGGACAAAGCGGCUCGGGGCCAAGGAUGACUUCGUGAGUGAUGUUUUCCUGUCCUCCUGGGCCGGCCGGGACGUGCACUAGACCUCCCUGCCCUUAUUGAAUGCACCUGUCUAAAUUAAUCUUGGGUUUCUUAUCAACAGAUGGAGAUUAAGAGUCAUGUCUUCUUCUCCUUAAUUAACUGGGAUGAUCUCAUUAAUAAGAAGAUUACUCCCCCUUUUAACCCAAAUGUGGUGAGUAUCUGUCUCUCUUCUAAGUAUAGAGAAGCCCAAAGGGCAUUUAUUUUAAUUCAGAAUUGUCUGGGGGAGGGUUGGAAGGAAUACAUUGGCAGAUGUUUUCUCCAUAAACCUGUUAUUUUACCUACAUAAAAAGCACAUUUUUGUGUCCCAACAAGGCUCCCAUAAUUUUUAGACACAUUUAUCAAUUCGAAGCACCAAAAGGCAACAAGUGAACAUUAUUCUUAUGUUUAACUGUGUGUAGCCUUUUGAGAUUUUGUGCUUGAAGUGGGUGAUUAUGGAAGUUGAUAUAAGACUUAAACUUGGUAUUUAAAGCCUGGUCAAGAUUUCCCUGUCCUGUGUCUAGUGUGAGUUCUUGACAAGAGUGUUUUUCCCUUCCCGUCACAGAGUGGGCCCAACGACCUACGGCACUUUGACCCCGAGUUUACCGAAGAGCCUGUCCCCAACUCCAUUGGCAAGUCCCCUGACAGCGUCCUCGUCACAGCCAGCGUCAAGGAAGCUGCCGAGGCUUUCCUAGGCUUUUCCUAUGCGCCUCCCACGGACUCUUUCCUCUGAACCCUGUUAGGGCUUGGUUUUAAAGGAUUUUAUGUGUGUUUCCGAAUGUUUUAGUUAGCCUUUUGGUGGAGCCGCCAGCUGACAGGACAUCUUACAAGAGAAUUUGCACAUCUCUGGAAGCUUAGCAAUCUUAUUGCACACUGUUCGCUGGAAGCUUUUUGAAGAGCACAUUCUCCUCAGUGAGCUCAUGAGGUUUUCAUUUUUAUUCUUCCUUCCAACGUGGUGCUAUCUCUGAAACGAGCGUUAGAGUGCCGCCUUAGACGGAGGCAGGAGUUUCGUUAGAAAGCGGACGCUGUUCUAAAAAAGGUCUCCUGCAGAUCUGUCUGGGCUGUGAUGACGAAUAUUAUGAAAUGUGCCUUUUCUGAAGAGAUUGUGUUAGCUCCAAAGCUUUUCCUAUCGCAGUGUUUCAGUUCUUUAUUUUCCCUUGUGGAUAUGCUGUGUGAACCGUCGUGUGAGUGUGGUAUGCCUGAUCACAGAUGGAUUUUGUUAUAAGCAUCAAUGUGACACUUGCAGGACACUACAACGUGGGACAUUGUUUGUUUCUUCCAUAUUUGGAAGAUAAAUUUAUGUGUAGACUUUUUUGUAAGAUACGGUUAAUAACUAAAAUUUAUUGAAAUGGUCUUGCAAUGACUCGUAUUCAGAUGCUUAAAGAAAGCAUUGCUGCUACAAAUAUUUCUAUUUUUAGAAAGGGUUUUUAUGGACCAAUGCCCCAGUUGUCAGUCAGAGCCGUUGGUGUUUUUCAUUGUUUAAAAUGUCACCUGUAAAAUGGGCAUUAUUUAUGUUUUUUUUUUUGCAUUCCUGAUAAUUGUAUGUAUUGUAUAAAGAACGUCUGUACAUUGGGUUAUAACACUAGUAUAUUUAAACUUACAGGCUUAUUUGUAAUGUAAACCACCAUUUUAAUGUACUGUAAUUAACAUGGUUAUAAUACGUACAAUCCUUCCCUCAUCCCAUCACACAACUUUUUUUGUGUGUGAUAAACUGAUUUUGGUUUGCAAUAAAACCUUGAAAAAUAUUUACAUA
RNAcentral lists this long non-coding RNA (5474 nucleotides) under Homo sapiens (human). RNAcentral describes it as "non-protein coding lnc-SLC2A12-7:2". Lineage: Eukaryota; Metazoa; Chordata; Mammalia; Primates; Hominidae. The record is from RNAcentral.